AAAAUGGGAUAAUACCCACACAAGCUAGGGUGCACAUGGUUAUUGGAAGGUUCCCACGAGAUCAUACAUGGAAAAGGGCUUUGUAAAAGGCAAAGUUAUGUCCGAGUAAGGGACAUUAUCAUUAAAUGGCAGCUGGAAGCUGUAAUUUGGUUCUGCCCUCUCACGCCCGCUGCUGCUGCUACUCCAGACGUCUUGCAGAGUGGGCAGGAUCUUAUGACCCGAUAGGUGCAGGACCCAUCUGAACACGGAGACCAGGAAUGGGGUUCCAUGGAGGCCUAGCUGGCACUGCACCCAGGCAUGAGGACACAUCCAGUAAGAAGACCUGCCUCAAGAGGUGCACUGCGGUGACCAGUGGAGGUGACUGGUUGGAGCCUGGAAUUGGAGGCAGAUUCCAAGCUCUGGUGGACAAACUCCCCAGGCCUGGUGGGAAUCACAGCUGGGGCAGACCUCAUCCUGGCUGCCUGGCCACAGGCCCCCACUCUCUGCCACUGGUGGUAGGACGAUGCCUGUGUGGAGAGCUGGCUUCUCUGCUCCCGCCUGGUCCACCACUUGGCUAGAGUUCAGAGACAGGAAGUGAUUGG
This 581-nucleotide small RNA is filed under the name Pongo abelii (Sumatran orangutan). RNAcentral describes it as "processed transcript". The record is from RNAcentral. Lineage: Eukaryota; Metazoa; Chordata; Mammalia; Primates; Hominidae.